This is a non-coding RNA of Camellia sinensis, 479 nucleotides long. Lineage: Eukaryota; Viridiplantae; Streptophyta; Magnoliopsida; Ericales; Theaceae. The record is from RefSeq and is a predicted model, not a curated record.
UCUGCCUGCCUGAGUUGGUAAUUGUAGGAGAGUAAAUGAUGUCCUUUAACCUGCUUGCGGCCAUAUAUGAACAUAUGUCCAGUGAUGUCUCUUCUGAAAAAUGGUGGAGUUGGUCCGACUUCUAAGGGGAGCCUGAACCCCACCAUUACAGUCCAUCCUAGAAGCUUCAGAAUUGGGGUGGGGUAUUAAGAGAGGAGUUUAAUCCCCUACUUUGUUGAGAUGUCUGAAAGGGGACUCUCACUUUGCUGAUUUGAAAGUGGAAAAUUGCGAGCUUUCAUGUAAUGGAGUGAGUCAACUUGUAGGUGUUCUUUCAACUUUAAAGAGGCCACUGGAUUCUCUAUCUAUUGGAGAAAAUGGCCUUGGCAGCAAAGUUGGAGCACCUUUGGGAAAAUUUUUAGGCAUAGGUAUUCAAGCACUGGAAAUUGAAGAUAUUGGGCUUGGUUCAUCUGGCUUUCUGGAACUACAGAAAGAAAUAGGAG